ACAGCCUUUGUGGGGCCUACGGGGCAGUAGGAGACAGGACGCUUGUCCUGCGGAAUGGCAAGGAAUCAGCUCUCCAUUUCAGGGCAAAGUGGGGCCUGGAUUGUGGGCCUUGAACAUGAAGGCAGGUGGGCGAGGGACUAGGGGACCGCGUGAGGCCCGACGUGCACACGGCAGGGCCCGGCACCCAUGGUUGCGUUCGGUCGGCCUUGGCCGGCUGGCUCCUGCUUGGAAACUUGCUGGGUGGUGUCUGCGGUAAGUCGGUGGCAUUAUUCCCAGGGGCUGUGAGGAAACCCUCAUAUCGUUUGUCCUAAAGCCUAGGAUCUUGGAAACAGGACCAUCACCCUUAUAGAGGUCAUCCCCCUCUGACCAGACCCUAUUCCAAGGCCAUUUCCUGCGUCUAAAAUCCUCCGUGGGUGUAGAAACCAGCUAGAGAUGGGAGCACUGAGGCCUGCAAUGGGAGCUCUCCUGGAGACGUGAGGGCGUUGCCGGCCUCUUCACGCUACCCCUGCU
This 510-nucleotide long non-coding RNA is filed under the name Homo sapiens (human). Its description in RNAcentral is "non-protein coding lnc-ERC1-1:6". The record is from RNAcentral. Lineage: Eukaryota; Metazoa; Chordata; Mammalia; Primates; Hominidae.